GCGGCGUGCUUAACACAUGCAAGUCGAACGGAAAGGCCCUGCUUUUGUGGGGUGCUCGAGUGGCGAACGGGUGAGUAACACGUGAGUAACCUGCCCUUGACUUUGGGAUAACUUCAGGAAACUGGGGCUAAUACCGGAUAGGAGCUCCUGCUGCAUGGUGGGGGUUGGAAAGUUUCGGCGGUUGGGGAUGGACUCGCGGCUUAUCAGCUUGUUGGUGGGGUAGUGGCUUACCAAGGCUUUGACGGGUAGCCGGCCUGAGAGGGUGACCGGCCACAUUGGGACUGAGAUACGGCCCAGACUCCUACGGGAGGCAGCAGUGGGGAAUAUUGCACAAUGGGCGGAAGCCUGAUGCAGCAACGCCGCGUGCGGGAUGACGGCCUUCGGGUUGUAAACCGCUUUCGCCUGUGACGAAGCGUGAGUGACGGUAAUGGGUAAAGAAGCACCGGCUAACUACGUGCCAGCAGCCGCGGUGAUACGUAGGGUGCGAGCGUUGUCCGGAUUUAUUGGGCGUAAAGGGCUCGUAGGUGGUUGAUCGCGUCGGAAGUGUAAUCUUGGGGCUUAACCCUGAGCGUGCUUUCGAUACGGGUUGACUUGAGGAAGGUAGGGGAGAAUGGAAUUCCUGGUGGAGCGGUGGAAUGCGCAGAUAUCAGGAGGAACACCAGUGGCGAAGGCGGUUCUCUGGGCCUUUCCUGACGCUGAGGAGCGAAAGCGUGGGGAGCGAACAGGCUUAGAUACCCUGGUAGUCCACGCUGUAAACGGUGGGUACUAGGUGUGGGGUCCAUUCCACGGGUUCCGUGCCGUAGCUAACGCUUUAAGUACCCCGCCUGGGGAGUACGGCCGCAAGGCUAAAACUCAAAGGAAUUGACGGGGCCCCGCACAAGCGGCGGAGCAUGCGGAUUAAUUCGAUGCAACGCGUAGAACCUUACCUGGGUUUGACAUGGAUCGGGAGUGCUCAGAGAUGGGUGUGCCUCUUUUGGGGUCGGUUCACAGGUGGUGCAUGGCUGUCGUCAGCUCGUGUCGUGAGAUGUUGGGUUAAGUCCCGCAACGAGCGCAACCCUUGUUCACUGUUGCCAGCACGUUAUGGUGGGGACUCAGUGGAGACCGCCGGGGUCAACUCGGAGGAAGGUGGGGAUGACGUCAAGUCGUCAUGCCCCUUAUGUCCAGGGCUUCACGCAUGCUACAAUGGCUGGUACAGAGAGUGGCGAGCCUGUGAGGGUGAGCGAAUCUCGGAAAGCCGGUCUCAGUUCGGAUUGGGGUCUGCAACUCGACCUCAUGAAGUCGGAGUCGCUAGUAAUCGCAGAUCAGCAACGCUGCGGUGAAUACGUUCCCGGGGCUUGUACACACCGCCCGUCAAGUCAUGAAAGUUGGUAACACCCGAAGCCGGUGGCCUAACCGUUGUGGGGGAGCCGUCGAAGGUGGGACUGGUGAUUAGGACUAAGUC
RNAcentral lists this ribosomal RNA (1441 nucleotides) under uncultured organism. RNAcentral describes it as "16S ribosomal RNA". It matches the Rfam family "Bacterial small subunit ribosomal RNA". The record is from RNAcentral.